This 498-nucleotide ribosomal RNA is filed under the name uncultured bacterium. Its description in RNAcentral is "partial 16S ribosomal RNA". It matches the Rfam family "Bacterial small subunit ribosomal RNA", at positions 28 to 507 of the family's 1533-position model. The record is from RNAcentral.
GAUGAACGCUGGCGGCGUGCCUAAUACAUGCAAGUCGAGCGAACAGACGAGGAGCUUGCUCCUCUGACGUUAGCGGCGGACGGGUGAGUAACACGUGGAUAACCUACCUAUAAGACUGGGAUAACUUCGGGAAACCGGAGCUAAUACCGGAUAAUAUAUUGAACCGCAUGGUUCAAUAGUGAAAGACGGUUUUGCUGUCACUUAUAGAUGGAUCCGCGCCGCAUUAGCUAGUUGGUAAGGUAACGGCUUACCAAGGCAACGAUGCGUAGCCGACCUGAGAGGGUGAUCCGCCACACUGGAAACGAGACAACGGCCAGACGCCUACGGGGGGCAGCAGGAGGGAAACUUCCGGAAUGGGCGAAAGGCUGAAGGGGCAACGCCGCGUGAGUGAUGAAGGUCUUCGGAUCGUUAAACUCUGUUAUUAGGGAAGAAAAAAAUGUGUAAGUAACUAUGCACGUCUUGACGGUACCUAAUCAGAAAGCCACGGCUAACUACGUG